RNAcentral lists this ribosomal RNA (252 nucleotides) under uncultured bacterium. RNAcentral describes it as "partial 16S ribosomal RNA". It matches the Rfam family "Bacterial small subunit ribosomal RNA", at positions 524 to 776 of the family's 1533-position model. The record is from RNAcentral.
UACAGAGGUCCCAAGCGUUGUUCGGAUUCAUUGGGCGUAAAGGGAGCGUAGGUGGUCGGGUAAGUCAGAUGUCAAAUUUCGACGCUCAACGUCGAAUCGCAUUUGAUACUGCCUGGCUAGAGGAAUUGAGAGGAGGCCGGAAUUCACGGUGUAGCAGUGAAAUGCGUAGAUAUCGUGAGGAAGACCAACGGCGAAAGCAGGCCUCUGGAAAUUUCCUGACACUGAGGCUCGAAGGCCAGGGGAGCAAACGGG